GGUAGGGCCAACAUCUGCCUAGGAAACAUCUGCUCUUCUCAUCUUCCUGCAAAUUGCCCUCCUCCCCUUUGAAGCCUCAGCCCCAUCUCUUUCCUCAGCUCAGGAUGGCAUUAUUAGAGCAGCCAAAGAACCUAGAAAGAAAGAAGGAAAAAUUCUCCCCCCGGCACCCCCUGACAGUUUGGUGACCUGCAAAGGGACAUUCGCUGGCUGGAUACAGCUUCCUCCAGGGAGGCUGCCGCUGAGAGAAGCCAGGUAAACAAGCUAGAGCUGGACAACUUGAUAAAACUUCAAAGAAAUCACCACAAUAGCUCAUGUAUGGACAACCUUAAUGCCUCCGUGUCACAGAAGGAUCACCAGAGACAUUCAAACUGCCAACCAGAAAAAUCUAGCAGGUUGCUGCUGCCCUUCCUUACUCCAUCUGAAGAGGUUAGGAGCCAGAUAUCUAGAAAUCUCGACUGGCUGCCUUUAGAACUCAGAAACUGGGAGUGUAAUCUUCUCCAGUCAUUAACUGUUGUUUUUCUUUUGUUUCCAUAGAAAUGCUUCUUAUUAAAUACCUAAUUGCUUGCACCAUGGAACUAA
This is a long non-coding RNA of Mustela lutreola (European mink), 579 nucleotides long. RefSeq lists it as uncharacterized. The record is from RefSeq and is a predicted model, not a curated record. NCBI's taxonomy places the organism in Eukaryota, Metazoa, Chordata, Mammalia, Carnivora, Mustelidae. The transcript has 3 exons.